GGUGAUUAUUGUGGAGGUGUUACACCCGUUCCCAUACCGAACACGGAAGUUAAGCCCUCUAACGUCGAUGAUACUACCGCUCUAAGCGGUGGGAAAGUAGAUAGUUGCCU
Molecule: ribosomal RNA, 110 nt
Filed under: Termitinemataceae bacterium
Lineage: Bacteria; Pseudomonadati; Spirochaetota; Spirochaetia; Spirochaetales; Termitinemataceae
Source: RNAcentral